AAAUUGAAGAGUUUGAUCAUGGCUCAGAUUGAACGCUGGCGGCAGGCCUAACACAUGCAAGUCGAGCGGUAGCACAGGAGAGCUUGCUCUCUGGGUGACGAGCGGCGGACGGGUGAGUAAUGUCUGGGAAACUGCCUGAUGGAGGGGGAUAACUACUGGAAACGGUAGCUAAUACCGCAUAACGUCUUCGGACCAAAGAGGGGGACCUUAGGGCCUCU
RNAcentral lists this ribosomal RNA (218 nucleotides) under Pectobacterium carotovorum. RNAcentral's name for it is "partial 16S ribosomal RNA". It matches the Rfam family "Bacterial small subunit ribosomal RNA", at positions 1 to 217 of the family's 1533-position model. Lineage: Bacteria; Pseudomonadati; Pseudomonadota; Gammaproteobacteria; Enterobacterales; Pectobacteriaceae. The record is from RNAcentral.